This 901-nucleotide ribosomal RNA is filed under the name uncultured bacterium. Its description in RNAcentral is "bacterial SSU rRNA". It matches the Rfam family "Bacterial small subunit ribosomal RNA", at positions 93 to 990 of the family's 1533-position model. The record is from RNAcentral.
GAGUGGCGGACGGGUGAGUAACGCGUAGGAAUCUGCCUGUUAGUGGGGGACAACGUGGGGAAACCCACGCUAAUACCGCAUACGCCCUACGGGGGAAAGCGGGGGCUCUUCGGACCUCGCGCUAACAGAUGAGCCUGCGUUAGAUUAGCUAGUUGGUAGGGUAAAGGCCUACCAAGGCGACGAUCUAUAGCUGGCCUGAGAGGACGAUCAGCCACACUGGGACUGAGACACGGCCCAGACUCCUACGGGAGGCAGCAGUGGGGAAUAUUGGACAAUGGGCGCUAGCCUGAUCCAGCAAUACCGCGUGUGUGAAGAAGGCCCUAGGGUUGUGAAGCACUUCCAAUGGGGAGGAAAACCUGCCGGCCAAUACCCGGUAGCUUGACGUUACCUAUAGAAGAAGCACCGGCUAACUCCGUGCCAGCAGCCGCGGUAAUACGGAGGGUGCGAGCGUUAAUCGGAAUUACUGGGCGUAAAGCGUGCGUAGGCGGUUCGUUAAGUCAGGUGUGAAAGCCCCGGGCUCAACCUGGGAACUGCAUUUGAAACUGGCGAACUAGAGUUGAGUAGAGGGGAGUGGAAUUUCAGGUGUAGCGGUGAAAUGCGUAGAUAUCUGAAGGAACACCAGUGGCGAAGGCGACUCCCUGGACUCAAACUGACGCUGAGGUACGAAAGCGUGGGUAGCGAACAGGAUUAGAUACCCUGGUAGUCCACGCCGUAAAUGAUGUCAACUAGCCGUUGGUCCUAUUUACAGGAUUAGUGGCGCAGCUAACGCAUUAAGUUGACCGCCUGGGGAGUACGGCCGCAAGGUUAAAACCCAAAUGAAUUGACGGGGGCUCGCACAAGCGGUGGAGCAUGUGGUUUAAUUCGAUGCAACGCGAAGAACCUUACCUACCCUUGACAUCCA